UGGUAAUAUGUGCAUUUCUGUUCUUCAUGAGCCUGGGAAGGAUAAAAGCCAAAAGAAUGCUUGCUCCUGUGCUACACCUUGGAAACCAUAAUUAGUGUCAUUUUUAUUUUGGCCGACCCUAAUAGAGACUCGCCUGCUAAUGUCAAUGCAUGAGAAGAAUGAGGGAAUGACAGAAAUGGAGAAUUCAAAGGGAAGGUUGCCCACUGUUUAAGAAAAAGCCAAGAGACUGCUUUUGAGUGACAUUUAUCCAGCAGUUAGUAACUUAUUUCAGUAUCUCCCAGU
This 282-nucleotide long non-coding RNA is filed under the name Homo sapiens (human). RNAcentral's name for it is "non-protein coding lnc-TBCE-2:1". The record is from RNAcentral. Lineage: Eukaryota; Metazoa; Chordata; Mammalia; Primates; Hominidae.